This 375-nucleotide ribosomal RNA is filed under the name uncultured organism. RNAcentral describes it as "partial 16S ribosomal RNA". It matches the Rfam family "Bacterial small subunit ribosomal RNA", at positions 527 to 896 of the family's 1533-position model. The record is from RNAcentral.
GUAGGUGGCAAGCGUUGUCCGGAAUUAUUGGGCGUAAAGCGCGCGCAGGCGGGGUUUUUUAAGUUCUGAUGUGAAAGCCCACGGGCUCAACCGUGGAGGGUCAUUGGAAACUGGAGAACUUGAGUACAGAAGAGGAAAGCGGAAUUCCACGUGUAGCGGUGAAAUGCGUAGAGAUGUGGAGGAACACCAGUGGCGAAGGCGGCUUUCUGGUCUGUAACUGACGCUGAGGCGCGAAAGCGUGGGGAGCAAACAGGAUUAGAUACCCUGGUAGUCCACGCCGUAAACGAUGAGUGCUAAGUGUUAGGGGGUUUCCGCCCCUUAGUGCUGCAGCUAACGCAUUAAGCACUCCGCCUGGGGAGUACGGCCGCAAGGCUG